RNAcentral lists this ribosomal RNA (233 nucleotides) under uncultured bacterium. RNAcentral describes it as "partial 16S ribosomal RNA". It matches the Rfam family "Bacterial small subunit ribosomal RNA", at positions 100 to 334 of the family's 1533-position model. The record is from RNAcentral.
CGGGACGGGUGAGUAAUGUCUGGGAAACUGCCUGAUGGAGGGGGGUAACUACUGGAAACGGUAGCUAAUACCGCAUAACUUCGCAAGACCAAAGAGGGGGACCUUCGGGCCUCUUGCCAUCGGAUGUGCCCAGAUGGGAUUAGCUAGUAGGUGGGGUAACGGCUCACCUAGGCGACGAUCCCUAGCUGGUCUGAGAGGAUGACCAGCCACACUGGAACUGAGACACGGUCCAG